CAGGGAGGUAGUGACAAGACAUCUUAGGGUUUUUGGUUAUUCUAAGAACCACUGAAAUGAGUGUGAGAUAAAGCUUUACACGAGGAUCAAUUGGAGGGCAAGUCUGGUGCCAGCAGCCGCGGUAAUUCCAGCUCCAAUAGCGUAUAUAAAAGUUGCUGCAGUUAAAAAGCUCGUAGUUGGAUUUUGAGAUGUGGGGUGUUUUGGGUAUGUAUUUGGUCGCUUGGUUCAUCCAUGCGUACUAUAUUUUCCCAACCGCCCUUACAUAUUUUUUUUUGUUGAAGGAGCGUCAAAAACUCUUUCAAGAAAGACUGUUACUUUGAGUAAAUUUGAGCGUUCAAAGCAGACGAGUAUGUCUUGAAAAUUCUAGCAUGGGAUAACGUUUGAUGACUGUGGGUCAUGUCGUUGGUCUAUGACUGCCGCGGUAAUGAUGGAGAGGGACAGUCGGGGGCAUUCGUAUUUCAUUGUCAGAGGUGAAAUUCUUGGAUUUGUGAAAGACGAACUAUUGCGAAAGCAUUUGCCAAGGAUGUUUUCAUUAAUCAAGAACGAAGGUGGAGGGCGCGAAGACGAUUAGAUACCGUCCUAGUCUCUACAGUAAACGAUGCCAACUAGGGAUUUUUGGGUCAUUUUAUGGGGGUGAUUAUAAAACCACCCCCCAAGAAGAUUGAGAGAGAAAAAACCCGGAG
This 683-nucleotide ribosomal RNA is filed under the name Helicosporidium sp. Its description in RNAcentral is "partial small subunit ribosomal RNA". It matches the Rfam family "Eukaryotic small subunit ribosomal RNA", at positions 457 to 1092 of the family's 1831-position model. The record is from RNAcentral. Lineage: Eukaryota; Viridiplantae; Chlorophyta; Trebouxiophyceae; Chlorellales; Chlorellaceae.